RNAcentral lists this ribosomal RNA (254 nucleotides) under uncultured bacterium. RNAcentral's name for it is "partial 16S ribosomal RNA". It matches the Rfam family "Bacterial small subunit ribosomal RNA", at positions 524 to 776 of the family's 1533-position model. The record is from RNAcentral.
GACAGAGGGUGCAAACGUUGCUCGGAAUUACUGGGCGUAAAGCGCGUGUAGGCGGACUGGUGUGUCGGAUGUGAAAUCCCCAGGCUCAACCUGGGAACUGCAUUCGAAACUGCCAGCCUUGAGUGGUGGAGAGGGAAGUGGAAUUCCUGGUGUAGAGGUGAAAUUCGUAGAUAUCAGGAGGAACACCAGUGGCGAAGGCGGCUUCCUGGACACCAACUGACGCUGAGACGCGAAAGCGUGGGGGAGCAAACAGG